UGUGUGUGUGUGUGUGUGUGUGUGUGUGUGUGUGUGUGUGUGCAUGAGUCAGCGGCUGGAGGUGGGGUGUAGGUGCUGAGAGACAACUAAUCCUCGAGUACAGACAUAUGCCGGGCUGGAGCAUCACCAAGGACAAAGAACCAAGUGUUACACAUUAAGACGUGACUGAUAUGAUGGGCACAUUUUAAGACUAGCAGCGCUGCGCCGGCCCACUGUACCAGAGCAGGGGCCUUUUCCUGAGGCUUUGUUUGGCCUGGCCUCUGGGAAUGGCUCAAAUUUAGGUGGAUGUGACAGAAUACCUCUCGACCCCGACAAUCACCAUG
Molecule: long non-coding RNA, 323 nt
Organism: Sander lucioperca (pikeperch)
Lineage: Eukaryota; Metazoa; Chordata; Actinopteri; Perciformes; Percidae
Exons: 3
Source: RefSeq, a predicted model, not a curated record